This 253-nucleotide ribosomal RNA is filed under the name uncultured bacterium. RNAcentral describes it as "partial 16S ribosomal RNA". It matches the Rfam family "Bacterial small subunit ribosomal RNA", at positions 524 to 776 of the family's 1533-position model. The record is from RNAcentral.
UACGUAGGGUGCAAGCGUUGUCCGGAAUUAUUGGGCGUAAAGAGCUCGUAGGCGGUUUGUUGCGUCGGCUGUGAAAUCCCGAGGCUCAACCUCGGGUCUGCAGUCGAUACGAGCAAACUGGAGUGUUGCAGGGGAGACUGGAAUUCCUGGUGUAGCGGUGAAAUGCGCAGAUAUCAGGAGGAACACCGGUGGCGAGGGCGGGUCUCUGGGCAACAACUGACGCUGAGGAGCGAAAGCGUGGGGAGCGAACAGG